Molecule: ribosomal RNA, 468 nt
Filed under: uncultured bacterium
Lineage: Bacteria
Description: partial 16S ribosomal RNA
Rfam family: Bacterial small subunit ribosomal RNA
Source: RNAcentral
GACGAACGCUGGCGGCGUGCUUAACACAUGCAAGUCGAACGGAAAGGCCCUGCUUUUGUGGGGUGCUCGAGUGGCGAACGGGUGAGUAACACGUGAGUAACCUGCCCUUGACUUUGGGAUAACUUCAGGAAACUGGGGCUAAUACCGGAUAGGAGCUCCUGCUGCAUGGGGGGGGUGGGAAAGUUUCGGGGGUUGGGGAUGGACUGCCGGCUUAUCGGCUUGUUGGUGGGGUAGUGGCUUACCAAGGCUUUGACGGGUAGCCGGCCUGAGAGGGUGACCGGCCACAUUGGGACUGAGAUACGGCCCAGACUCCUACGGGAGGCAGCAGUGGGGAAUAUUGCACAAUGGGCGGAAGCCUGAUGCAGCAACGCCGCGUGCGGGAUGACGGCCUUCGGGUUGUAAACCGCUUUCGCCUGUGACGAAGCGUGAGUGACGGUAAUGGGUAAAGAAGCACCGGCUAACUACGUG